RNAcentral lists this ribosomal RNA (440 nucleotides) under uncultured bacterium. RNAcentral describes it as "partial 16S ribosomal RNA". It matches the Rfam family "Bacterial small subunit ribosomal RNA", at positions 338 to 795 of the family's 1533-position model. The record is from RNAcentral.
CCUACGGGUGGCAGCAGUGGGGAAUAUUGCACAAUGGGGGAGACCCUGAUGCAGCGACGCCGCGUGAGUGAAGAAGUAAUUCGGUAUGUAAAGCUCUAUCAGCAGGGAAGAAAAUGACGGUACCUGAGUAAGAAGCCCCGGCUAACUACGUGCCAGCAGCCGCGGUAAUACGUAGGGGGCAAGCGUUAUCCGGAUUUACUGGGUGUAAAGGGAGCGUAGACGGCAGUGCAAGUCUGUAGUGAAAGGCUGGGGCUCAACCCCCGGACUGCUAUUGAAACUGUACGGCUGGAGUGCAGGUGAGGUAAGUGGAAUUCCUGGUGUAGCGGUGAAAUGCGUAGAUAUUAGGAGGAACACCAGUGGCGAAGGCGGCUUACUGGACUGUAACUGACGUUGAGGCUCGAAAGCGUGGGAAGCAAACAGGAUUAGAUACCCGAGUAGUC